This 1015-nucleotide long non-coding RNA is filed under the name Apteryx rowi (Okarito brown kiwi). Its description in RNAcentral is "lncRNA (ENSARWG00000010354.1)". The record is from RNAcentral. Lineage: Eukaryota; Metazoa; Chordata; Aves; Apterygiformes; Apterygidae.
CCCAAAGUUGAGCACAUAGUUCUCAUCUCGAGUGUCAGCUUCUGAGACUGUCUUCUCAUUACUAGGAGUGUGUGCAUCCCAGGCAGGCGUGUUUGGAUGAGGAUAUUAAACCCCUUAAUGUCUCUACCCUGUAUUGCUACUCUGUGAAGUCUGGGAGGGCUGCCUCAGAGAGGAGGGUAAGACUGAGAACCUGUUCUCAUAAGCCAUGUGCUGAUUGCAGUGAAGAAUACUUGGGCAGAUUUUCUUUGUCUUUGUCUUCUGUCUUCCAGAAAUGGUCUCAAAAUGGAAGCCUUGCUGGUUAGUCCAGGACAUGUGACUCUGAUCCCAAAUCAGUUCACCUCUGUUGAUAAGUUAAGUUCUCAGUUUGUUUCAAAGGGCUUUGCCCUGCUACUUUAAUGUGCUGAAAAUCUUAAAUGUAAGGAAAUAUAUUCUCCUUUAAAAUUGUAAAUUUUAAGCAUCCAUUACCUGCUGAAUUGUAAAACACUUGAUCGUAACUUUAAUUUGCUUGAGGAAAUGCCAGUAUCUCUUAAACAGGGCUUGUAUUUGUUCACAGGAAAACAUGAAUUCCUGCAGGAGAAUCUGUAAAUACUCUUAUCUGCACCGCAGAGACUUUACUCCACUUCAGACUGGGUAGAGGCUUUCCAAGAAGGUGUUGAAUACGCAGUAGUAACAGCUAUAACAGUCUGAGGAAAUAACACUUCAGAAGCCAGCCUGUAUCCCCAUGUCUCCUGAGCACGGUUUGUGUCUGCCAGCAAUACCGACUGGAUCUGCUGAAAAACUGAGAGCUGGGAGUCCUCAGCAUGCAGAGCACCUGGGCAGCGUCCCUGCGAGAGCCGUCAGAGCGGCCUUGUUCCCUGCAGAGCACGCAGGGCCCCAGGGCCAGCUGUGGCUGACUGAUGGCUGGCAAGGAGCACGCGGUGAGAGACCUGUUAGGUCCCUAGGCUGGAGCCAUCUAGGACUCCAAGUGUCUAGGGAGAGCAAAGGACUAAACCAUCUGCUCAUGAUCUCUUAUUGA